AAAAAUACGCAGACACCAAGUUUGUAAACACCUUAAGCCCUUUUGCAUCCCUGAAGAUUCUAUGGACGGCUCUGGGCAAUAACAGAAAAAAACCAAUCAACCCAUGGGACGCGGAGGUUAUGGCGAUUUAAGUUGUAAAUACUGCGGCAAUAGUAAAGACAAUUAAACUGGGUGCAAUAUUGGAGAAAUGGCUGGGAGCUGGAGCAAAUCAGCUUAGCCUGGGGGGAAUUAAGGCUCACGAGUUAAAAAUAGGAAAAGCAGCUCCAGAAACAGAGCUGAAAGGAGAUUAACCAUCAGACCCUAGGCUGUAGACUGUAGUCCCCAUAAUUCUCAUGUUUGGUCAGUUAUUAUUACGCAACCAUAAAAUCUUAGUGCCAUUCAACAAUAAGUGCUUAUUUUCCAUGCGUCAGCUUGUUGACUGGAGUUGGCUGAUCUAGACUCAGAUGGAUGGUUCUGCUUUAAGCUCAGGCUUGGCUAUGGUUGGCUCCACUUGUUUUUAAUCUGGGCAAACAGGUACGCAGAAGAAUCUCUUUUCAUGGCAAUGACGGAGACUCAGGAAGAUAAUUGCACAAGCACAUUUCAAGCUCUCGCCGAUAGUGCCUUUGCCAACAGCCCAUUGGCCAAAGUGUGAUUAUCGCUGGGAACGGACACCCCAAGAGACAAGAGCUGACUGGCGCCUGACCUGCUAUCUACCACCUGGAUAGCACGCCUCACCUCCAUACUUUCCACCACUCACAUCAAACCUAGGAUAGUGCCUACCUUGUGCCUUCUUAGCUCAUGUUCCGCCUGCUCUCUAGCACCUGAACAUCAAGGUCCACCUGAGGGAUUUCGGCAUGCUUGAAGAUCAUAUUUGAAAAAGUGACUCCAGCAAGUGUCUGCUAGACUUGAAGUGGGAUUUAAGAAAAAGCCAGAAUUGGAGCUACCAUGUUGAACUCAGGAUCACCUGGAAUGGAAAAAGCUAGGCUGCAGGUGAGAAACAUCAGAGAACAAGGGAUUAAGUGUGGCACCCAGAGCCACAAAACAAUGACCAUGCCCUUCUUUGUUUCACGAGAGACUCGAGCAGGUAUUUUGGCCUAUAUCUUUCUGUUGUUUGUUGGUGUGUGUUAACCACAAAAGGAUUAUUUCCACUCAUUACCUCAAAGAGUGUGUUUAAAAGUUAAGUUUUAGGUAACACUUCUGUGUUCAAAAAUUAUUUCUUUUUUUUUUUUUUUAAUGUUUAUU
Long non-coding RNA from Acinonyx jubatus (cheetah), 1221 nucleotides. RefSeq lists it as uncharacterized. Lineage: Eukaryota; Metazoa; Chordata; Mammalia; Carnivora; Felidae. The record is from RefSeq and is a predicted model, not a curated record. The transcript has 4 exons.